AACGAACGCUGGCGGCAUGCCUAACACAUGCAAGUCGAACGAAGGCUUCGGCCUUAGUGGCGCACGGGUGCGUAACGCGUGGGAAUCUGCCCUUUGGUUCGGAAUAACAGCUGGAAACGGCUGCUAAUACCGGAUGAUGACGAAAGUCCAAAGAUUUAUCGCCAGAGGAUGAGCCCGCGUUGGAUUAGGUAGUUGGUGGGGUAAAGGCCUACCAAGCCGACGAUCCAUAGCCGGUCUGAGAGGAUGAUCAGCCACACUGGGACUGAGACACGGCCCAGACUCCUACGGGAGGCAGCAGUGGGGAAUAUUGGACGAUGGGCGCAAGCCUGAUCCAGCAAUGCCGCGUGAGUGAUGAAGGCCGUAGGGUUGUAAAGCUCUUUGACCCGGGAAGAUAAUGACUGUACCGGGAGAAUAAGCCCCGGCUAACUCCGUG
Molecule: ribosomal RNA, 433 nt
Filed under: uncultured bacterium
Lineage: Bacteria
Description: partial 16S ribosomal RNA
Rfam family: Bacterial small subunit ribosomal RNA
Source: RNAcentral